Regulatory RNA element from Mangrovibacter sp. MFB070, 338 nucleotides. It matches the Rfam family "RNase E 5' UTR element". Rfam says of the family: This family represents a conserved element found in the 5' UTR of RNase E mRNA. RNase E is a key regulatory enzyme in the pathway of mRNA degradation in E. coli that is able to auto-regulate the degradation of its own mRNA in response to changes in RNase E activity. This rne 5' UTR element acts as a sensor of cellular RNase E concentration enabling tight regulation of RNase E concentration and synthesis. Lineage: Bacteria; Pseudomonadati; Pseudomonadota; Gammaproteobacteria; Enterobacterales; Enterobacteriaceae. The record is from Rfam.
UUUUCCGCGUUGAGACCUGUAAGAACAAGGAAUUUUGCGGAAUUACCAAUUUUGCCUGAAUGUUCAUCAACGCAGCAAUGGCGUAAGACGUUUUGUACUUUCAGGCAGUUAGCGGGCUGCGGGUUGCAGUCUGGCCGGUAAAUGGAAGCUUCUCUGGCGAAAACAUUCCCAGGCAGUUCCCCUAUAAACAGCGCUGUUUUUCCGUUUGAAAUACAGGCUACCGACACGCUGCGCCUCUCAGCAAGCGACAACCGUGAGGUUGACGACUUAGCGAAUAGUCACGAGGCCAUCGGUUCACAUCCGGUCAGCGAUUACCUUGCCCGCAGUUCUGUCGUCAA